AGAGUUUGAUCCUGGCUCAGGAUGAACGCUGGCGGCGUGCCUAAUACAUGCAAGUCGAACGCACUGUGGUUCAACUGAUUUGAAGAGCUUGCUCUGAUAUGACGAUGAACAUUGCAGUGAGUGGCGAACGGGUGAGUAACACGUGGGAAACCUACCUCUUAGCGGGGGAUAACAUCUGGAAACAGAUGCUAAUACCGCAUAACACUAGCAACCGCAUGGUUGCUACUUGAAAGAUGGUUCUGCUAUCACUAAGAGAUGGUCCCGCGGCGCAUUAGUUAGUUGGUGAGGUAAUGGCUCACCAAGACGAUGAUGCGUAGCCGAGUUGAGAGACUGAUCGGCCACAAUGGGACUGAGACACGGCCCAUACUCCUACGGGAGGCAGCAGUAGGGAAUCUUCCACAAUGGACGAAAGUCUGAUGGAGCAACGCCGCGUGUGUGAUGAAGGGUUUCGGCUCGUAAAACACUGUUGUAAGAGAAGAAUAGCAUCAAGAGUAACUGCUUGGUGUGUGACGGUAUCUUACCAGAAAGGAACGGCUAAAUACGUGCCAGCAGCCGCGGUAAUACGUAUGUUCCAAGCGUUAUCCGGAUUUAUUGGGCGUAAAGCGAGCGCAGACGGUUUUUUAAGUCCG
This 629-nucleotide ribosomal RNA is filed under the name uncultured bacterium. RNAcentral's name for it is "bacterial SSU rRNA". It matches the Rfam family "Bacterial small subunit ribosomal RNA", at positions 8 to 591 of the family's 1533-position model. The record is from RNAcentral.